AAUCUGCCCAUGGUCUGGGGGAUAACAGUUGGAAACGACUGAUAAUACCGCAUAAUAUGGUUUGAAGGCAUCUUCUUUCCAUCAAAGAUUUAUCGGAUAUGGAUGAGCUCGCGUCUGAUUAGCUUGUUGGUGAGGUAACGGCUCACCAAGGCGACGAUCAGUAGCCGACCUGAGAGGGUGAUCGGCCACAUUGGAACUGAGACACGGUCCAAACUCCUACGGGAGGCAGCAG
RNAcentral lists this ribosomal RNA (232 nucleotides) under uncultured bacterium. Its description in RNAcentral is "partial 16S ribosomal RNA". It matches the Rfam family "Bacterial small subunit ribosomal RNA", at positions 123 to 354 of the family's 1533-position model. The record is from RNAcentral.